CCUAGGGUGGCAGCAGUGGGGAAUAUUGGACAAUGGGCGAAAGCCUGAUCCAGCCAUGCCGCGUGUGUGAAGAAGGCCUUCGGGUUGUAAAGCACUUUCAGUGGGGAAGAAAGCCUUGGGGCUAAUACCCUCGAGGAAGGACAUCACCCACAGAAGAAGCACCGGCUAACUCCGUGCCAGCAGCCGCGGUAAUACGGAGGGUGCGAGCGUUAAUCGGAAUUACUGGGCGUAAAGCGCGCGUAGGCGGUCUGAUAAGCCGGUUGUGAAAGCCCCGGGCUCAACCUGGGAACGGCAUCCGGAACUGUCAGGCUAGAGUGCAGGAGAGGAAGGUAGAAUUCCCGGUGUAGCAGUGAAAUGCGUAGAGAUCGGGAGGAAUACCAGUGGCGAAGGCGGCCUUCUGGACUGACACUGACGCUGAGGUGCGAAAGCGUGGGUAGCAAACAGGAUUAGAUACCCCAGUAGUC
RNAcentral lists this ribosomal RNA (464 nucleotides) under Vreelandella stevensii. RNAcentral describes it as "partial 16S ribosomal RNA". It matches the Rfam family "Bacterial small subunit ribosomal RNA", at positions 338 to 795 of the family's 1533-position model. The record is from RNAcentral. Lineage: Bacteria; Pseudomonadati; Pseudomonadota; Gammaproteobacteria; Oceanospirillales; Halomonadaceae.